This 1441-nucleotide ribosomal RNA is filed under the name uncultured bacterium. RNAcentral describes it as "bacterial SSU rRNA". It matches the Rfam family "Bacterial small subunit ribosomal RNA". The record is from RNAcentral.
AAUCAACGCUGGCGGCGUGCCUAACACAUGCAAGUCGCACGAGAAAGGGGAGCAAUCCCCGAGUAAAGUGGCGCACGGGUGAGUAACACGUGAAUGAUCUACCUCCGAGUGGGGAAUAACUGAGAGAAAUCUUAGCUAAUACCGCAUAACACUUACGAGUCAAAGCAGCAAUGCGCUUGGAGAGGAGUUCGCGGCCGAUUAGUUAGUUGGCGGGGUAAUGGCCCACCAAGACGAUGAUCGGUAUCCGGCCUGAGAGGGCGCACGGACACACUGGAACUGAAACACGGUCCAGACUCCUACGGGAGGCAGCAGUGGGGAAUUUUGCGCAAUGGGCGAAAGCCUGAUCCAGCCAUGCCGCGUGCGGGAAGAAGGCCUUCGGGUUGUAAACCGCUUUUGGCAGGAACGAAACGGCGCGGGCCAAUACCCCGCGUUAAUGACGGUACCUGCAGAAUAAGCACCGGCUAACUACGUGCCAGCAGCCGCGGUAAUACGUAGGGUGCAAGCGUUAAUCGGAAUUACUGGGCGUAAAGCGUACGCAGGCGGCUAGGUAAGACAGGUGUGAAAUCCCCGGGCUCAACCUGGGAACUGCAUUUGUGACUGCCUAGCUCGAGUCUGUCAGAGGGGGGUGGAAUUCCACGUGUAGCAGUGAAAUGCGUAGAGAUGUGGAGGAACACCGAUGGCGAAGGCAGCCCCCUGGGAUGAGGCUGACGCUCAUGUACGAAAGCGUGGGGAGCAAACAGGAUUAGAUACCCUGGUAGUCCACGCCCUAAACGAUGUCGACUAGUUGUCGGGAAUUCAUUUUCUCGGUAACGCAGCUAACGCGUGAAGUCGACCGCCUGGGGAGUACGGUCGCAAGAUUAAAACUCAAGGGAAUUGACGGGGACCCGCACAAGCGGUGGAUGAUGUGGAUUAAUUCGAUGCAACGCGAAAAACCUUACCUACCCUUGACAUGCCCGGAAUCCCGCAGAGAUGUGGGAGUGCCCGAAAGGGAGCCGGGACACAGGUGCUGCAUGGCUGUCGUCAGCUCGUGUCGUGAGAUGUUGGGUUAAGUCCCGCAACGAGCGCAACCCUUGUCACUAGUUGCUACGAAAGGGCACUCUAGUGAGACUGCCGGUGACAAACCGGAGGAAGGUGGGGAUGACGUCAAGUCCUCAUGGCCCUUAUGGGUAGGGCCUCACACGUCAUACAAUGGCCGGUACAAAGGGCUGCCAACCCGCGAGGGGGAGCUAAUCCUGGAAAGCUGGUCGUAGUCCGGAUUGCAGUCUGCAACUCGACUGCAUGAAGUCGGAAUCGCUAGUAAUCGUGGAUCAGCAUGUCACGGUGAAUACGUUCCCGGGUCUUGUACACACCGCCCGUCACACCAUGGGAGUGGGGUUCACCAGAAGCCGUUUGCCUAACCGCAAGGGGGGCGGCGACCACGGUGAGCUUCAUGACUGGGGUG